Molecule: ribosomal RNA, 294 nt
Filed under: Triticum aestivum (bread wheat)
Lineage: Eukaryota; Viridiplantae; Streptophyta; Magnoliopsida; Poales; Poaceae
Description: partial small subunit ribosomal RNA
Source: RNAcentral
ACUUCAUGUAAAUCGGCCAGCCACAGCUCCAAGAAUAUGCGGAGGAGGUGGCCCGGGUCGGCGUCGGCGCCGUCCGGCACGGGCCACGGGCCCGCUUCCAAGUGCGCCUGCGCGCCGGCCACCCAUGCCGGGUCCUUCAAGUGCCGCUUCCACCGCACCAACUCUCAGGGCUACGGCCAGGGCCAGGGCCAGGGAAGCCGCCCUUCUUCGCCCCCUUCACCGGCCGCGGCCAACGCGGUGCCGCGGCACCCGGCCUCGCCGUCCUCGUCCUCCGGCACCGUCGCGACCCAGUGA